RNAcentral lists this ribosomal RNA (468 nucleotides) under uncultured bacterium. RNAcentral's name for it is "partial 16S ribosomal RNA". It matches the Rfam family "Bacterial small subunit ribosomal RNA", at positions 28 to 507 of the family's 1533-position model. The record is from RNAcentral.
GACGAACGCUGGCGGCGUGCUUAACACAUGCAAGUCGAACGGAAAGGCCCUGCUUUUGUGGGGUGCUCGUGUGGCGAACGGGUGAGUAACACGUGAGUAACCUGCCCUUGACUUUGGGAUAACUUCAGGUAACUGGGGCUAAUACCGUAUUUGAGCUCCUGCUGCAUGGUGGGGGUUGGAAAGUUUCGGCGGUUGGGGAUGGACGCGGGGCUUAUCGGCUUGUUGGUGGGGUAGUGGCUUACCAACGCUUUGACGGGUAGGCGGCCUGAGAAGGUGACCGGCGACAAUAGGACUGAGGGACGGCGCAGACAAGUACAGGAGGCAACAGGGGGGAAUAUGACAGAAUGAGGGGGAGCGUAAGGAAGAAGCGCGGAGGGCGGAAAGACGGCCUUCGGGUGGUGAACCGGUUUCGCCUGAGACGAAGCGUGAGUGACGGUAAUGGAUAAAGAAGCACCGGCUAACUACGUG